This 117-nucleotide ribosomal RNA is filed under the name Sinocyclocheilus rhinocerous. Lineage: Eukaryota; Metazoa; Chordata; Actinopteri; Cypriniformes; Cyprinidae. The record is from RNAcentral.
UACGGCAGCCAUAUCACCCUGCAGCCCAAGACUGGUUGCCCACUGAAGCUAAGUAGGGUUGAGCUUGGUCAAUACCUGGAUGGGAGACCUCCUGGGAAAACUUGGUUGCUGUUGGAA